Molecule: long non-coding RNA, 3825 nt
Filed under: Homo sapiens (human)
Lineage: Eukaryota; Metazoa; Chordata; Mammalia; Primates; Hominidae
Description: non-protein coding PRKCQ-AS1:9
Source: RNAcentral
UUGUCGCCCAGCUGCGAACUGGAGCGGGAGGCGGCGGCCGGAGGGCCCAGGACAGCCCCGGGAGGGCGGCGAGGCGGAGCAGGAGCGCCCCGGCUCCGGCCACAUUCUCAGAGUCAGGAAAAGGGGCGAGAGGCCACAUGUCUCCCUCUCGCCCAACUGAAAACGAAACGGCGCUCCAGCAGAUUGGGUGGAAAGAGCUGGGUCUCUUUUCUCUGUUUUUCACGCUAGAAAGGGCUUGUAAACAUUGUUCCUUUUAAAAUGACCUACCCCAGGCAUUUGUUUGGGCACACUUCUGUCCUGGGGUCAUCGUUCCUAGGUGGCUUCGGACCUGGGACUUUUCCUGUAUCUGCACAUUGUCGUUUUAUACACAAUUGCCAAGGUGGGACUGCUUUCAACUUUACUGUGCUUGAAGCUGCAAAGCGGAUCCUGUUACAGUGCAAAGAAGAAAUGGCAAACGGAUAACAGCUACUGUGCCUAGAAGAUGGUUCUGCCCUGAUGUUUCCUGGAAUAAUGCUGAGGACUGCCUUUCGGGUAGCCGCCCUAUUCAGUUCACUUCAUCUCGGAAAUACCUGACCCCUGCCUUGGAUCCAGCGGCCCUCCUGAGAGCUGAGGAAGGAGGAAAUCCUAUGUGUCUGCUCCCGGAGCUGCCACAACCCAUCUUCCCACAACUCGGAACUUGGAAAAAGGAACCCAGGACACGACUUUGCUUUUCUUUUGGACCUAGUUGGUGAUUAUACUCUGUCUCCCAUGGAGACCACGUCUUGCAUCCUUCCUUCUAUAUGGGAUUUAGGAUAGAAAUUAAAAAGAAAACAUAUUAUUUUGAGUCUUGAUUUGGAGAAAGGUAGUAUUCAGGAGGAAGUAGGCUAUGAUACACAUAGAAAAUUUGAGGACAGUGUUACUUAACAAGGACAUUUCUGUCUCUGCAGAAGUCACAGCUUGGAGGAAACCAGUUUGCACUAUUUGAUGAGGAAUUUGGCCACCAAACCACUGAUACUUUCCCAAAGGUUUGGCAGAAAUUGUUUUUUGAGUGGCUCACCAGAGUACCCAGAAGAAUCAGUAUGGAAUUAGAGGACAGUGGCCUACCCUAAAUAAAGACAUGAGUGAUGUAUAAAGUCUAGUGUCAAUUUAUUCAGAAAAUAUCAAAAUUAUUCUGGGAGCUAUGGGUCAAAGUUGAUAGGCACAAACAAACAAAAACGAAAGGUAUUUUAAAUUCACAGCUUGGAUAAGUAAAAGGGAGAUGUUGUCAUUUCUCUUCUUCAAUCCAACUUUAGAUUUUCAAGCCGGAAAAAGGGUAAUUAGAAGUUAGAAAUUGUUAUUGCCAGAAAAUAGCUCUAAACCCUGAAAAAAAAAAAAAAAAAAAAAAAAACUGACCCUCCUCUUGGGGAGUGAUAAACCUCAAUUACUGUUGAUAGUAAAACUGAUAUCAACUCUUCGAAACCAGUGAAAGGUGAAUGGAAACCUUACCCUAGGUUAAGGUUUAAAAAAUGUUCAUAAUAUAUAUUUGAAAGUUCCAUUAUUUAAAAUAUUCAUUAGACAUGCUUUGUAAUGUUAAGUUACUUCAAAAAAUCUUACACAAGGGAAGGGAAGUAUGUAUUAUUCCUUCAUUUAAGAGAAAGAUAAUGUGUGAAUAUUAGUUAAUAUUUAUCGUACAUUUACUACCUGUGUCGAAGCGUAGUGUUACACACUUAAUUUCAAUUAUUUAAUUUGAUUCUAACAAUGAAUCCCCUGAGAUGGAUAAUAUCCUCUUCAUUUUACAGAUGAGACAAUUGAGACUUAAAGGUUAAACAAAUGAUUUCCUAAGCUCAUUCAGCUAAUAAACGGUAGGGGACUGCUUGACACCAGUCCAGUUGACCCUCAAAUCCAUGAUUUCUGCCACCAUAUUCACAGAAACAAGACAAGAGCUGAAAAUAUAGCCUGACUCUUGAAACAGUCAAAGAAUUGUGUAUGUUUAUGAAAGUUCUGAUUAAUAAGAUAUUCUGAGGACAAAAGACAAGGCAUGGGUAGAGGGGCAAUGUGUAGAUUAGAAUGUAUCACAAUGCCCACUAAAUAGUAAAACCAUAGAAAAUGAAAUUUAAUCCUUACUGUGUAGAAUAUUUAGAGUAGAUUGUUUUUUCCUCGGUGUCAAUUACUAUUACAACUAUCAAAGAAUGAAAUUAAACAAGAAACGGUUCCUUUGGUUUUUUUUUUUAAAGGUGGGAGUUAUAAAAACAGUAUUUGCCAUCUGGUUUUAGUUAUGGCUGUGGAAAUUCUAUGGGUACAAUUUGUUGUCAUUGUUGUUACCACUACCAAUACAGAGAUGCUAAUUGUAACAUCAGUUUCUAAAUCAGAUAGUGAAUAAUUACAUUUUCAAUGUUUUCUUAACAUAGAUACAAGUUAACAGGAUAUGCUUCUGGCCUGUUUCUGGAUUCUAAGGGUAGAACCAGCAUAAAACUAGUCAGUCCAAGUAUUUCUAAAGAUCCACAGACACAGUUCUCCUGGAUUUGGGAAGCCUAGAGAUAUUAGCACAAUAAUUAAGGCCCAAGGUAAAAGCAACAGCAGCCUGAAAAUGCAAAAGACCAUACAUUUUAAUGGUAAGUCCUCCCCAGGAAGGAUUAAUAAAUCUCAGGAGGAAGAUUUAUUAUCUGUAAAUCCAGGAGGAAGAAAUCAAGAUGAAAACUAUCAUAUUUAUAAAUUUGAUUGUUGCAAUUUUAUAGUUUGACAUAGUGCAAUUGCUUUAGAUUUGAAGGGGAACUUACUUUAGAGUAAGUCACUCAAUCUCUUUUUUGGAAAGGCAAAUGCCACACCUGAUCCUCAUCACUCCCUUCUCCUUUGUCCAUAGCCUGGCUUUAUUCUGCCAUUAACACACACACACACACACACACACACACACACACAAAUUGGGAAGAGGAUUUCUCAUUUUACAGAAAGUAUGCUGGGCUACACAGGAUAUUCUAUCAGGUUUCUUCCAGCUAUAAAAUUCUGAGACUAAAUAUCAAAUUAAAGAAAGUACUAAUUGUCAGCGAUGGGGGAUGUACUGCUAUUUGCUUCUAGUGGUACUCACUGCUCAUUUCCUAUAUUCACUGGUAUAAAAAAAUUUCAAACACCCUCAAAAAAGCCUAUACUGGUGGUACCAGGAAAACGCUGAAAAUCAUUACUUUCUGUGUGGUGUCCAGCUCUUUUGGUUACAUCAUCACUUCGACCAUUCACUUUUAAAGAAAAACUUUUGUGGAACAAAAAUAUAAAGAUUUAUUUUUUUUCUUGGUGGCUUAGCACAGUGGCCUAAUGUGGCUGACCAUGUGCACCUGUUGUGUGAGUCACUUAGACGUGCUUUGUUUCUUGGUCACAGUUGAUCCCUCAACUCAAGCAUCUCACCCUCAAAAUGUUUGUUUGGGACCCAAGAGGCAAACCUUGAGAUGGGUUAUUUCUUUCACCUUGGAUUGGCUCAUCUGCUGGGAGUGGAGCCAAGCUGACAUUUCCUUUCCUUUUUGUCUGCCUAUCACUACGUAGAGGCAGCACAUAAGAGAGGGAAAGCCAUGCGCGUGGAGUCCAGCACAUCACCCAGAAGGCAGAUGUUCUAUCUCCAUUUUACUCAUUAAAACAAACAAAACCACACCUGGAUUGCCUGGUACUUAAAUAAAAUGCACUAUGAUGAUUGAAGAAAAAUAUCUUAUAUUUAAGGAAUAGUUUUAAUAGCUUACAUCUGUAUUUCUAUUAGCUUCCGUUUCUAUUUUUAAUAUUUGUAUAAUAUUAAAAGUAAUUUUAAAAAUGAACUAAUCUUUUUACAUCUCUUAUGAGAAUUUAAUGGAGAUAUGAUGUUUGAAGAUCAAAGAUACGUGGUAUUUGAAA